UAACCCCCCCACUAUACGCUUGUGUUGACUAGGCGACACACGACAGGUUCAUUCUCCACUACUGUAGACAGCUAGCUAUAUUGUAAACGAAUAAAAAAAACAUAUAAUACUGAUAACAAACGGCAGUGCGUUUAAUAAAAAAAGGAAAGAAAACGAAAAGGACGCAGCAGAGAAGCUGGAACAAGUGUUCAGGCAACUUGUCCAGUCAUCUAUCCAUCCACAUAAAUGCACUGUGGUUACAUUAUUUGGGAGAAGAAGUCCCCCUUCCCUUCCUCCACCCCCUUCCCUCUCCACCCUAUUACUGAGAAAGAGAGAACCAGAUCCAGGAGGGACAGUAAAGGCAGAUGAACGGACAGUCUGCUGCUCACAACGCCACACAGACAGGAAAGACAAAGUAGAUCUGUGGAAAGUUGCAUCAGGCUUUGCUGGCAAGUCCCAGAGGCCUGGCGGAGGAAACGUCUGGUCCACACAUCCCUGACAUGCCAUCACUCCCCAAUGAUGGAGAUGAUCAAAAGUCGUCCCCCGUGAACUUGCCAUCUGCACUGUCCAAUCAGAAUGGUGUAAAGAGGAAAGUGCGCACUAAGAAGAAGAAGGGCAUCAUCACUGCCAACGUGGCAGGAACAAAAUAUGAGAUUGUUCGUAUUGUUGUUGGGGAGAUGGCUUUCCACAAAACCAGAGACGAGGACGAAACAGCUAACCUCAUCUGGAACGACUCGGCCGUACAGCAUGAGAAAAUCGCAGAGCUCAGGAACUACCAGCGAAUAAACCACUUUCCGGGAAUGGGAGAGAUCUGUCGGAAAGACUGUUUGGCAAGAAACAUGUCCAAGAUGAUUAAAAGCCAGCCUCAGGAAUACAGCUUCAUUCCCAAAACUUGGAUCUUCCCGGCGGAGUACACUCAGUUCCAGAACUACGUGAAGGAGCUUAGACGCAAACGGAAGCAAAAGACGUUUAUCGUCAAACCGGCAAACGGUGCAAUGGGUCAUGGUAUAUCUUUGAUUCGGAAUUGCGAAAAGCUCCCGGCGCAAGACCACUUCAUUGUGCAGGAAUACUUGGACAAGCCGUUUUUAAUGGAGGGAUACAAGUUUGACCUGCGCAUUUACAUCCUGGUCACUUCCUGUGACCCUCUAAGGAUCUUCCUCUACAAUGACGGCUUGGUGCGGAUGGGGACGGAGAAGUAUCAUACGCCUAACGAGUCCAACCUGAGUCAGCUAUACAUGCACCUGACGAAUUACUCAGUAAACAAACACAACGAGAACUUUGAGCGCGAUGAGACCGUGGACAAAGGCAGCAAGAGAUCCAUCGGCUGGUUCACCGAGUAUCUCCGCAUCAACAACUACGACGUCGGCAAAUUCUGGGGAGACGUUUCCGAGCUGGUGGUGAAGACGCUGAUUGUGGCCGAGCCUCAUGUGCUCCAUGCAUACCGUAUGUGUCGCCCAGGACAACCGCCAGGGAGUGACAGCGUUUGCUUCGAGGUCCUCGGCUUCGACAUCAUUCUGGACCGCAAGCUCAAGCCGUGGCUGUUGGAGAUCAAUCGAGCUCCGAGUUUUGGGACAGAUCAGAAGAUUGAUUAUGACGUGAAGAGGGGGGUCUUGCUCAAUGCCCUGAAACUGUUGAACAUCAGAGCAAGUGAUAAGCGACGAAACCUGGCUCAGCAGAAGGCCGAGGCACAGCGGCGCCUCUACGGCCAGGGCACCAUGAAGAAACUUGCAGCAGGUUCCUCCGAGUGGGAAAAACAGCGCCUCACCCUGGAGCGGAGGAAAGAAGAGCUGAAAGAGAGGCUGGCCCAGGUUCGCAAACAGAUCUCCAGGGAGGAGUACGAAAAGCGUCAUCUGGGGAACUACAGACGUAUUUACCCCCCAGAUGACAAGCUGCUCUUGGAGAAGUAUGAGGGCCUCCUCUCGGUUGCCUUUCAGACGUUCCUCGCUGGGCGAGCAGCCUCACUUCAAAAGGAAAUGAAUAAUCCUCUGAAACGAAUGAAGGAAGAGGACAUCUUGGAUCUGCUGGAGCAGUGUGAGUUGGACGAUGAGAAACUGAUGGGAAAGACAUCCAGGCAGAGAGGAGUGAAGGCCUUGUCCUCCAUGCCUGAAAGCGCCCAGAUGCCCAGGAGGCACAGGGACUAUGAAGACAGCUCAGGCAGCUGCAACAGUAGCAGAACGUCAGGCUCAAACACAGAUGAAGAGGAAGAGAGCACCAAUGACCUCCAGGAGAAGAAGGUCUCCAUUGAAGUUGGGGAGAGCAGACAGAAAGCCUCAGAGCGUUCCAGCCGAGUGCACUGGAAGCCUUCUCCCAAACCAGAGAAAUUGGGCUCAGUUUCCUCACCAGCGCUGUCAGGACUCAUCCGCCGCUCUGUCUCUUGCCCACGCUCCAUCGCUUCAUUUAGUGGACAAUCACCCAGCACUGACAGUAGAAGCACCUCGAACAAGAGUAUGCCCCAGAUGGGAAGCACUGCUGUGGCAUCAGCCCAUGCAGGAGCUUUAGCUACGCCAACAUCGUUGGUUCGACCCCACACAGCUCUGCGCUCACACUCUCUUAGCCGCAACAGCUCUGCCCACAGAAUGCCCCACAGCAGCAGCCUGGGCACUAUCCAUUCCACCUCGGGAGAGUCCCUGCUGAACGCGAGGAGCAAGGAGCAGGAGGCGGAGCUGACGCGGCAGACGCUGGCCGCGCUGGGGGAGUUGCACAUCCGAUUCCCAGGGAAGAGUGAGGAAGAAGCGGAGGCCGUGCUGGACGAGAUUUUAAACAACUGGAAAUAUCAUAAACCAAAAGUGGCUUCUUAUUGGCUUGUGAAGUUAGAUGCCACCAAACAAAGAAAGGUCCUGGACAUCGUCCGCACAAAUGUUCGUUCAUUGCUCCAGAGGAUCUGGAGGGAGCCUGACAUUGACAGUUUACGUCUCUACCGCCUUUUUAACCGUGUCUUCAGCCGCCUGCUCUGGAGCCAUGGUCAAGGCCUGUGGAACUGUUUCUGCAGCUCGGGCAGGUCAUCAUGGGAGAGCAUCUUCAGCAAGAGCAGCGAUGUGGUGACACCACAGGAGUUGCAGUGCUGCCAGCGCUUGGUGCAGCUGUGCCGUGACUGCCUGCUCAUAGUUUACAAGUUCGUAGUGGAGUCGCGCGGGUCGCUGACCGGAUUCAACCCGGAGUGGGAUGACCCCAGGUAUCUGGUGCCAGUGACCUCCCAGUUCAUCAUCAAGUGGCCUUCCUCCAGCUCAAGCCGGAACGUGGCCUCUCGUAGUCUUUUCACCACCCGCAUGGGCCACUUCUAAUCCACCUUGGACACUCGCCGCCUCCUGGGGAGGAAAGGGGCAAAGAUGCCUCCCCUCCUUGGGGAUAAGCUAACUCUGAAAGCAUGCAAAAAGGGGUUUUGCCAGUCCGCUUUUUUAGAUGUAGUCGUUGGUACAUCGGAGGCAGACGUUGGGCAGUCCCUCCCUUGAGUUCGGCUUGUGCCCGUGGAUCUCGUGUAAAAAAAAAAAUUGCUGUUCAGUUAUAUCCUUUAUUAUACUGUAAAAUAUGAUUCCCCAUCAUGGAUUUAUGUCCAGGACUUGCAAAACAAUUCUGUCAAUAACAGUGAAUGUUUCAGUGAAAUUUAGAUGGAAUGGGAUUUGUGUUUAUGCUCAUUGUUUAAGAAAGAUAACAUACAAUGCUGUUUUUCUUUUUCGCUGCUUGCAAUGUUUGCCAAUGGCCGGUGCUGUUUUUCUUACAUGAUUUUAUUACAGUUUGCCACAGUAUGUAGUAGUAAGAAGAAUUUAGGGGUACAGAAAGGUUCUGUCAAACUACUUGAAGAAUGAAGGAAGGUCUUCUGAAAACAUGCCUCUCAGAGAAGAGAGUACAAUUCUGCACUGCUGCAGCCGACAUACACAUGUUUAUGCCUACACUUCAGAAUGAGAUGUUUUCAGCUGACGAAGGGAAAAUCACUGCACAUCAGAAAUACUUGAAUUUAUUUAUGCUAUUUAUUUUAUUUGAAAUGUUUUCAUUUACAUGCACUACUAACUUAAGUGUUUUAAAGCAUAGUUUCAUUUUGUGUAAAUUGUAUGUAUUAUGUUUUUUUAUUUAUUAGGUUUUACUCAUUAGGGUUUUCUGUGAUAUACUAAAGGUAUGAGAAUGAGUUUUAAAGUAACAUAGGUCUAUGCUAAACUGCCAUGUUUGUGUUUUAGCAGCAAUGCCCUGCAUUUUCUCAGCCUGUAUGCAAGUGCCAGUGCAGAUUAUGGCGUGCCAAGUCUAAGCACAACCAGGAAUGUGUUAAUGGCUUCUAAAUUGAGGCUCAUGCAUUCUUACUUGCCACUGCUACAACUGUCUUUGGACCUCGUGCCAAUCAGUAAAUCUGGCCAGCCUCCACUGGAAGUCAAAAAUUAGGUUAAGCUCCGCUCAGAGUCAGAAGAUUUGAAGCUUUUUGGGCUCUGGUUCAAGACUGCCAAGCAGAGGUUCUGGAAAUCGGGAAGCCGAUUAAGUUCAACAGAGGCAAAAGGAAUUUAAAGGAAUCACUCUGGAGAUAGCUGCCUGCGGAGGAUGAGGAGGAUGUGAUCACUCUACAUGCCAUCAGACCUCUUAUUCACUUUCCACCUUCAUUUGAUCCAAUGGGUUGGGACUAAAAUAUUGCGCAGGCUUAUACCUUGGGAGGAUUUUCAACCUUAAUUCAAUUUUUGAUUCCAGUGAAGGACUCUGUUUAACAACAACCACAAAAAAAAAAAAAACGCUUGUUGUUUGCUGUAUAUUAGGUCAGAAGCUGAGAUUUUUUUUUUUUUUUCCUUUUAUCUAGCUUCAUUUAUCAAGCUGGAUACGAACAGAUUUAUUUUAUUCGGAAAUUGUCCGCAGGUGCAUUUACAUAAGAAGUGUAGUAUUCAUGAAAAUCCAGUUAGUAUAAAAUAAAAAUAAUGAAAAAAAAAUUGUAACCAACUACAGCUUUUGAGUUUGUAUGAGGAGACUCACUAACGUAAACGCUGACUGAUAGGCUUCAAGAUCAAAUAAUUGGCCUGGGGUACUGCAAUUUUAUAUACAGAUUACGUUGUCAAGUUUAAAAAGCUUAUUUAUUUAAAUAGCAAACAUUAUGAAACAGUCAUACUAUGGCUUCAACUCAUGUAAUCCAGAAGAAAUCUGUAAAUGAAAUAGAAAUAAGACUUGCUAUUCAAUUAAGACAAAACAAAUAUAAAAGUAGGAAGAGUUACUUUGCGUCCUUGGUGGUGCAUAGGCUGCAGUGACUGAGGUGUUACUGGAUUUAGUGCAUUCGUCUUUGAGGUUCUGCUUCACCGUUUUAUUUUUCAGCUCUCUGUGACCUUUGGCUAUUUGAGUUUGGUGGCACCUUUAAUGUGUCCUGAACUCGCUUUGUGCCUUAUACAUGAUGGCUAAUGAUCAGUAUACAUGUGCAAGUAUGAAGAAAAUUAGCUGGUAAGAAUCUGGUGGGGAUUUUUUGUUUCAUGGCCUAUGAAAACAUAUCCAAACAAUUUUACUAAAUGGCUGAUAAAUGGGGCUCGCUGUAUCCAACCUCUUGCCUUGAAAUAAAAGACACUCAGUGAAAUCACUUGCUUGUUAACAUUGUAUUAACCUGGCUAAUGUCAGGUUAUUUGCCAGUCCAUCGAGGAUUUAAUGAGAUAAAAUGGAUUUGAUCAUGAAACAAGCAGAAAGUCACUUCCCUUUCCCCUUGUGAUUUAGCCAUAAUACUGUGGCUGUAUUUAAGUUCUGCAGAAUUGCUUGAUGCUGAUGGAUUUAUGCUGAGAAGCGUUACGCCUGCUGGAGAGAACUUCCAAAACAUGUUUUCAUGUUUCCACAGGGGGACAUUGCUCUUCCCCUGCAACCUUUCUUAAUGUUCUCUUAACAUUCUUAGAGCCUGUAUUUCUUACAACACUGUCAUUAGCGAUAUGAGAUAUGCAGUCCAAAGGCAUUCUGUUGCUUUAUGAGUGUGUUUUUUUGUUUUUUUUUUCCGUUUUGUUGUACGAGUCUCUCAAGGCAAAGUUCUGAUGUAAAUCUAAAUAUCUGGUGAACGUGUGGUGUUUUUUUUUGUGUGUGUUCUUUUAAAUGCACUUAUUAAAUUAGUCAGAAAACUGUGUUCAGGGGAAUAUAAUAGCAUAUACUUAUUUUUAUACAUAUAAUUAUAUUUAUUCUAAUUCUAAUUAGCAACUCCCGUGAAAGCUAUUACAGCCUUUUUCUUUCGGUUCAUUUCUUUUACACUAUAUGAUGUUGACACGACUCCAAGAUAGUCUUGUCUUUGAUGCACGAUGAUCAGAGAGAUCGUAAUAAACACUGAAGCGCAAAACGCAAACCAUUCUAUAGUCGUUCAAUAUUAGCCUCAGUUUUCAUGGAAAAUCAACCACACGCUGGUACUGAUACUUAAGAGAUUUCACAUCUCGAUGAAAACGCAGCACACUCCGGAUGAACUGGGUUGUGGUUGAGUUAAGAAAAUUAUUUUUAAGGCCUCUACCGAUAGAACUGGUCUUAUACUUCUUCAGAGUAAAUCCCCUGCUCCUACUAGGCUCUGAAGUUUGAGUCUCUAGCCUGUGUUUGAGUAAAAAUCUCAGGGGGAACUCCGUGUAUAAAGAAGUCAUAAAUAAUACUCUUAUGAUAAGAGUUCCUGAAUGUGUUCAGUACGUGCUUGGGAGGGGGGAAAAAGAAUGUACAUGGUCAAGUGUUCAGUAGCUGCGACAGUCAGCCGAGACAGUCAGACAGGUGGCCUCCUACCCGCAUAGCUCCAAAAAGAUUCUGUCUCCAUCCGAACACCCAGGCAGCUAUCUUUUAUAUCCUCUUGUCUCCGUCUCUACGGUCAGAUCGUCUGCCUUAUCAAUUAAGCCGACACCAGAGAGAGGUCAUAAAAAAAGCCUUUCAGAAGAAUCCGAACAUGAUCGAGUUUAAGAUUUAUACAAAGUGAGGCUCUAACAAAUGCGUAAGUCAUUUUGUAUCAAUAUCAGUCCAGCUGUUUUUUUUUAAUGAUCACACCGUUAAUUUUCAACAUGAAUGUGAUGUUUUCUAGGCUACUGGUGUAAAGGUUAGUUGAGAUUGAGCUGCAGUUUAGGGAGGAUAUCAGGCAGUUUGAGAAAGAAGCACGUUUUCUUUUGCAAUCAAAGAGAAAAACAGCUCAAGAGACUCUUGGGUUGGUAAAAAUAGCACGAGGUCUGAUCAAGGCAACGAGAGAGGAUUUUAAAAUCCUGAUUACAAUAGCAGGAAUGCCGACAGAGACCUGAUGGAAAUUCAGGAACACAGCUGCCCACAUCUGUUUGGAGUUGACAUAUAUUUAGGUUCACAAUCAUAAAGAUUGUGCUAAUUGCAGGAUUCUUAUUCACUGGUAGUUAUGUUUACUUUUACACUUCUAUACCUGUAAACUAUAAUAUAAUCCUCCUUGAGGAUUCUUCCUCAUGUCGACCCCUUACCAGUGUUAACUUUAAAUCUAUAUCCAAGUACCUGUAAAGCUGCUUUUUGACAGUGUCAGUUGCUAAAUCUGCUCUAAAAAAUGGACUUGGUUUAUUUCACAAAUCCUGUACAAACUAAUGUUCCAUUCAAGCCUUGGUGUAUAUCCCACACAUUCAGUGUGAAGUUAAAUAAACCCUUUGAUCCA
This is an RNA transcript of Tachysurus fulvidraco (yellow catfish), 7534 nucleotides long. It is a transcript of the gene named tubulin tyrosine ligase-like family, member 7, with no coding region annotated. NCBI's taxonomy places the organism in Eukaryota, Metazoa, Chordata, Actinopteri, Siluriformes, Bagridae. The transcript is spliced from 23 exons. The record is from RefSeq and is a predicted model, not a curated record.